CUGGCACCAGAUGUACCCUGCCUCCUUAGAUAAGAGGGGGAGGGAAAAAUCCAUGUGGGCACAUCCAGAAAAUGGGAAACUGAACCACUUAGGACAUGGCAAGGAAUGAGGACAAGAAAGACAGCGCCAUUCCCUCCCACCACCAAUUGGCAGAUUCAUUCAGCAAACAACAGCCGUCCAAGUUCACCAAGACAAGACUUAUCUCUCACCAAAGGAAACCAGAGCGACGAAGAAGAGGUGGUAUUCACUGGAGACCCCAGCACAUCCAUUCUCCGUCCACCAAAGCCCAGAGCCUCAGACGGACAAAGAUCCUGGACUGAGAUCUAAGAGGAGUGAUGUGAGCAAAUGAGAGGCCUGGAACUCUGGAGACACCACGUCCUCAGCUGUAAGAACACAGACAUGGAGCUGAACAAGCCUGUCUCCACUGCCAAAAUCCACAAAGCUCCACUGCUAUGUCACCACAGCGGGAGACCGGCUACCUUCCAGCUUACCAGGCUUCUCCUCUACUUCCCUUGUCCUGCAGCUCAGUACAAGGUUCUGCCACCUCUGAAGUACCCCACCUAGGCCUGCACAAGGCUUUGGGAAGACAUCUAGACACAAGCCAAAGAAACGAGAGAAAGCACCCUCGGACAAACCUCUCGGAACUCAUGGAGGCUGAGUAGGGUCAGAUGAGAAACCGGUGUCCCUGGCCAAGAAUGUGCUGGCCUAUCUCUGCUGGAGAUGGCAAGUUUCAUUCACCAUUAAAAGCAUUACUCACAAUCCUCAAGAUAAAGAGUCAGCCUAGAAGUCCAUCAACAGAGGGAUGAACAAAGACACUGUGGUCUGCAUACACAACAGAAUAUUAUUCAGCCACAAAAAGAAUGAAAUCCUGUUGUCUGCAGUAACGUGGAUGGAACGAAAGGACAUUUUCUUAAGUGAAAUAAUCCCAGCAAAAAAACAAAAACUACUACAGGUCCUCACCCAUGUGCACAAGCUAAAAGAAGUCAGGUUCACAGAGAGUCGAACAGAGUUCACCUCAGCCUGGGAGAAGUAAGAAAACGAUGGAUAGAGUCAAGAAGAGCCAAAAUACAGCAGACAGGCGGAAUAAAUGAGUGUGUUCCACAGAACCGCGGAGUGACUACAUUAAUUGAUUAUAUGUCUCAAAAUAACUAGGAAGGAGGCCUUUGAAGAUUUCAACCCCAGGAAAUGACAAAGGCUGGAGGAAACAGAAACAGCGCUAAUGACACUGAUCUGAUUGUCACGCGAUGCAGACGUGGGUUAAAUUACCUCAGUGCACCCCUCAGUAAGUGCAGCUAUGAUGCAUCCACUGUGAUGGAAUUUGAAAAUGACCCUGGAGCUGCUGCUGUCUGGGACUGAAGGAAAUGGGGGGCCAUGAAUGAGCCUUGGCUGGCCCCCUGCACCUGCCUCUGCUGGAGUGGCUCUCUGCCGGAGUGAUGCACAGAAGCCCUGCUCCCUCGGCCAGGUGCAGGGCCCUCAGGGUCGUGGAAGGGACCACUUUCUCCUCCCCUUUAAAUGCACAGCCUCAACAGGAGACAAAAGCAGGACUCAUUGGAGGUCGACCCACCAGCAGGGAGACCAGGCUGAUCUUCAGGACCUCUUUUAUCUAAUAAUAAGAAUCUGAAUUCAUCUUAGAGUAUAUUCUACCAUGCAGCAGGCACCUUGCUAAACACUUUAAACUCACAAAAUGCUCACAACAGCCACAACAAGCAACUCAACCCUGGGGUCAGAGAGGAGAAAAGGGGGGUCUCAUAAAAGAAAUUGCAAAGGCUGCACAGCUCACCAGUCAGAGGUGGGGCUGGAUGCAAAGGAAGGCGCUACUCCUCCACCUAAGGGGACCUGCAUUUCCUGUCUCCCAACAACUCUUCUGACCAUUCACCCUUUAUAGGGCCACUUUCCAGCAGGAAAAUCUCUAGACCACACUGAAACCUUAGUGGACAGCAGGGUCAGUGCAGAACAGCACUAGACAUUUGGAUAUUGAUGCAUCUUUACCACCUGAUGGAGGGACACGGGCACUCCAUAAUCUGACUUGGCCACACUUAUCAGGAAAACAAUGUGAUCAGGGCAUUAAGUUUUCCACCCAACCUAAAGUAUCAUCUUGGAAUAUUUACAUUUUAAGAGGCUCUCUGAGUACACAAUGUCCUACCCAAAUGAAUGACUGUGAUGUUUCUGACCACAACAUGCACACACACAAAAAUCCAGCACAAAGUUCUCCCCACCCCCAAAAAAGAAUACUAAAAGUAUGAACAACUUUCAUAAUAUUUAGCAACAAUGGCGUGCCCUUACAUACUCCUGCUGAUCUACAGUGUAUGAUCCCCUUCCCAUUACAAGAUUUCAUUGAUACUUGCAACUACUACACCACUGGGGAAACCCGAGUCUCAGAUACGGGCUAACUUGGACUAUUUUACAAUGCUGGCAGGUGGGUGGUGUGAA
This is a long non-coding RNA of Cavia porcellus (domestic guinea pig), 2430 nucleotides long. RefSeq lists it as uncharacterized. The transcript is spliced from 6 exons. The record is from RefSeq and is a predicted model, not a curated record. NCBI's taxonomy places the organism in Eukaryota, Metazoa, Chordata, Mammalia, Rodentia, Caviidae.